Non-coding RNA from Ameiurus melas (black bullhead), 77 nucleotides. NCBI's taxonomy places the organism in Eukaryota, Metazoa, Chordata, Actinopteri, Siluriformes, Ictaluridae. The record is from the annotation of a GenBank genome assembly.
CGCACGGUAGCUUAGUGGUUAGCACGUUUGCCUUACACCUCUAGACUCGGGGGUUCGAUUCCCAUGGCUCUGUGUGU